UGGGGAAUCUUGCACAAUGGGGGCAACCCUGAUGCAGCGACGCCGCGUGAGCGAUGAAGCCCUUCGGGGCGUAAAGCUCUUUCGACCGGAACGAUAAUGACGGUACCGGGAGAAGAAGCUGCGGCUAACUACGUGCCAGCAGCCGCGGUAAUACGUAGGCAGCAAGCGUUGUUCGGAGUUACUGGGCGUAAAGAGUGCGUAGGCGGAUUGGAGAGUUGGAUGUGAAAGCUCCCGGCUUAACUGGGAGAGGUCGUUCAAUACUUCCACUCUUGAGUGCAGUAGAGGGAAGUGGAAGUCCGGGUGUAGUGGUGAAAUGCGUAGAUAUCCGGAGGAACACCAGUGGCGAAAGCGGCUUCCUGGACUGUAACUGACGCUCAGACGCGAAAGCUAGGGUAGCAAACG
RNAcentral lists this ribosomal RNA (402 nucleotides) under uncultured bacterium. RNAcentral describes it as "bacterial SSU rRNA". It matches the Rfam family "Bacterial small subunit ribosomal RNA", at positions 355 to 774 of the family's 1533-position model. The record is from RNAcentral.